RNAcentral lists this ribosomal RNA (254 nucleotides) under uncultured bacterium. RNAcentral's name for it is "partial 16S ribosomal RNA". It matches the Rfam family "Bacterial small subunit ribosomal RNA", at positions 524 to 776 of the family's 1533-position model. The record is from RNAcentral.
UACGUAGGGGGCAAGCGUUGUCCGGAUUUAUUGGGCGUAAAAGGCUUGUAGGUGGCCACGCCAAGUCGGAUGUGAAAUCUCCCGGCUCAACUGGGAGGGGUCAUUCGAUACUGGCGGGCUCGAGGCCGGUAGGGGGAAGUGGAAUUCCCGGUGUAGAGGUGAAAUUCGUAGAUAUCGGGAGGAACACCAGUGGCGAAGGCGGCGAUCUGGGAAGAUACUGACGCUGAGGUGCGAAAGCGUGGGGAGCAAACAGG